Molecule: ribosomal RNA, 253 nt
Filed under: uncultured bacterium
Lineage: Bacteria
Description: partial 16S ribosomal RNA
Rfam family: Archaeal small subunit ribosomal RNA
Source: RNAcentral
UACCAGCUCUCCGAGUGGUGUGGAUGUUUAUUGGGCCUAAAGCAUCCGUAGCUGGCCAAGUUAGUCCCUUGUUAAACCCACCGAAUUAAUCGUUGGCGUGCGGGGGAUACUGCUCGGCUAGGGGACGAGAGAGGCAGACGGUAUUCUCGGGGUAGGGGUGAAAUCCUAUAAUCCCGAGAAGACCACCAGUGGCGAAGGCUGUCUGCUAGAACGCGCCCGACGGUGAGGGAUGAAAGCUGGGGGAGCGAACCGG